RNAcentral lists this microRNA (21 nucleotides) under Glycine max (soybean). RNAcentral describes it as "gma-miR5372". Lineage: Eukaryota; Viridiplantae; Streptophyta; Magnoliopsida; Fabales; Fabaceae. The record is from miRBase by way of RNAcentral.
UUGUUCGAUAAAACUGUUGUG